This 72-nucleotide transfer RNA is filed under the name Marmota monax (woodchuck). It matches the Rfam family "tRNA". Rfam says of the family: Transfer RNA (tRNA) molecules are approximately 80 nucleotides in length. Their secondary structure includes four short double-helical elements and three loops (D, anti-codon, and T loops). The record is from Rfam by way of RNAcentral. Lineage: Eukaryota; Metazoa; Chordata; Mammalia; Rodentia; Sciuridae.
GGUGUUGUGGCUCAGUGGUAGAGUACUUGCCUAGCAUGCAAUAGGCACUGGGCUCAAUCCUCAGCACCACGU